CCGAGUUAGGGUCGCCCCCGCGCGCCCGACCUCCAACCCUUUGUCUACCUGACCUACAUGUUGCUUCGGCAGGCCCGCCGCCCCCGCUCACCCGGGGGAGGCCGCCGGGGGUCUCGCGAUCCCGGGCCCGCGCCUGUCGACGGCCCCAACCACAAAACUCUUGUUAAAAAACGUGUCGUCUGAGUACCACAUUUUAAUCAAAUUA
RNAcentral lists this unclassified non-coding RNA (205 nucleotides) under uncultured fungus. RNAcentral's name for it is "sequence contains ITS1, 5.8S rRNA gene". The record is from RNAcentral. Lineage: Eukaryota; Fungi.